Molecule: ribosomal RNA, 775 nt
Filed under: uncultured Neocallimastigales
Lineage: Eukaryota; Fungi; Neocallimastigomycota; Neocallimastigomycetes; Neocallimastigales
Description: partial large subunit ribosomal RNA
Rfam family: Eukaryotic large subunit ribosomal RNA
Source: RNAcentral
UAUGUGAUCGUCUCUCGCAUAUCAAUAAGCGGAGGAAAAGAAACUAACAAGGAUUCCCCUAGUAACGGCGAGUGAAGCGGGAAGAGCUCAAAUUUGAAAUCUUAAAGGGUUUCCCUUUACGAAUUGUAGUUUAAAGAAGUGUUUUCUGUUGAGGUUUUGGUAAAAGUUCUUUGGAAUAGGACAUCAUAGAGGGUGAGAAUCCCGUAUUUGACCUUUACUUUCAACUUUGUGAUACACUUUCAAAGAGUCGGAUUGUUUGGGAAUGCAGUCCAAAAUGGGUGGUAAAUUUCAUCUAAAGCUAAAUAUUGGCGAGAGACCGAUAGCGAACAAGUACCGUGAGGGAAAGAUGAAAAGAACUUUGAAAAGAGAGUUAAACAGUACGUGAAAUUGUCAAAAGGGAAGCGUUUGACACCAGUGUUGUUUUUCUGAAAAUCAAUUAAAGAACUGUUUAUGCUAAGUUGUUUAGACUUUAUCAGCUAACUGUUUAGUUUUGAGCUUUUCUUUAAUGCACUUUUCAGUUAACAAGUCAACAUCAAUUUCUUUUGCUGUAAAAAAGCUUGAGGAAGGUGGCUUGAGAUUCGUCCUUAAGUGUUUAUAGCCUCUUGCCUAUGCAGUCGGAGAGAUUGAGGUCUGCAGCGUAGAUCCUUCGGGGCUAAAUGCAUUUGUGCUAAGUUAUAGCAUUUUAUAGACAACUUGUUGACUAUGAUUUGUCUUGUAGCUUACUCGCUUAUGUUAUUUUACCUACGCUUAGGAUGUUGAUCUGUAGUGCGUGCGC